UUUUUUAAAAUUAUAAUUACGGAAAAUUAUCCCAUAUACCAUUCGAAAAGAGAGGAACAUGGUAUGGUAGGUACAAACAAGUUGCCGAGCUUAUUGUUAUAGUGUAGUGAAGUACGAAAUGUCAAAAAUAUCCUUGAGUUUGAUAAUGAAUUAACGUAAAUGACCAGCUUGAGAACAAGGAUCGAUGGCUAGUUGAUUUCUGAAGUUCAUAAAAGCCAGUUGUAGCGCCAGGUUGUUGGAACCAGAUUAAAUCAAUUAGGCUGGUAUUGUGUCUUGGCGAAGUAGUCAAUUGGCGGAGUGGUGUCAGAAGCGAAAAAACGAUGGUGAGGGGGGACAUGCUGUUGUGGUGGUUGAUGAUUGAAUCUUCAUCGUCAAAAGUGGGGUGGGUUUAGAGCUGGGCCAUCUGGAGGUGGAAAAAAUGGCAUCAUGUAGCCGAACCGCACCGGAUAUUGACAAUGCAUGGUGGGGAAGGCUCCUUCGAUGGCAUCGGCGAAGAUGGUGAUGUUGAUGGUUAUGCUCUGGUAUGAAUGAUGUUUAAUAAUUUGCAUGUUUUCAUUGUUUCAAUUACAAUUUCUAAUUUAGAUGAACAUACGCAAGUGUGGUAAUUUUUUCCUUUAAUCUGGGCAGCAAGGAUCGCUGGACAUUGGAAUAGAAGCGGAAGAGUUUCACGGGGAAUCAUACGAUGAAUGCGAAGAUAAGGGUAAAGUCCCCUGUGAACCAGUAAUGUAUAGUACUGCUGAGAUAUUGGAGAUGGAGUUCCACAAUUCCAUUAUUACCUCAUCAAUCUCAUCAGUCAUCACUUUAGGAACUCUAACUUUAUAAAUGAACAUAAACAACAUUUGUGCCUACAGUACGGGCACACUUCAUAUGCUUAUUGCUUCUUUUCCUUAUUUUUAAUCUCUUUAGCUUUCGUUUAUGCGUAUGCCACCACUGCCAUCCUUUUCUGCCACGUAAAAUCAUUCUGCGCCCUUUAUGCUUCAAACUUCCAUUAAUGUCACUGCACAAUACUAUAUGGGACUGUACCGGGCAAUUUCCUUCAGGAAUAAUCAUAAGCCAUAGCCACAACCAGCC
Molecule: long non-coding RNA, 1071 nt
Filed under: Arachis ipaensis
Lineage: Eukaryota; Viridiplantae; Streptophyta; Magnoliopsida; Fabales; Fabaceae
Description: long non-coding RNA (AIPA_LNC000976)
Source: RNAcentral